AUCGUGUGAUAUCGGAUGUCUGUCUUCUUCUCUGUUUUCUUUUCUUUUUUUUCCCCCUCUCCCCCUCUGGCCCUGUCUUCUUAUGUGGUGGCAGCGAUUCUGGUCAAUUCAUAGCGGAGCCUUGGAAAUGAUUCUAGUCUAAUGGAUGCGCGAAUCGUGCAGGAUGCGGAGAUUAUUGUUUCGUUCUGAUGAAAAAUAACAAAUAACACGGAAAUCUAUUGGAUUCGAGCGCUGAAACGUUAAGAGGACGGAAUUCAGACGCGGAUCUUUUCCAGGUGUGUGAUGAGACAAAGAAACAAAGGAUGCCUUAGAGAGGAGGUUGCCUGUACGCCUGGAAACCUCUUCAAAGCACACCACCAAAUGGAUCAAACGCCUCCCCCUGCCACCUCCAGAUCAUGAUACUCGGCUGAAGCUAUUCCACUACAUUUAUGAUCCCUCCUCCAUCUAUGGCGAACUAUAGCCAUGCAGGGGACCACACCAUCUUGCAGAAUGUUUCUCCUCUUGCCACAUUCCUCAAAUUAACCUCCCUGGGUUUCAUCAUUGGAGUCGGUGUGGUAGGGAACCUCCUGAUCUCAAUCCUGCUGGUUAAAGACAAGAGCCUGCACCGGGCACCCUACUAUUUCCUACUGGACCUGUGCGCCUCGGAUAUCCUACGCUCCGCUAUCUGCUUCCCCUUUGUCUUCACCUCUGUAAAGAAUGGAUCUGUCUUAACCUACAGCAUACUGACCUGCAAAGUGAUCGCCUUCCUCGGUGUGCUCUCCUGUUUCCAUACAGCAUUCAUGCUCUUCUGCGUCAGCGUCACCCGCUACCUGGCCAUCGCGCAUCACCGCUUCUACACCAAGAGGCUGACGUUCUGGACGUGCUUGGCCGUCAUUUGCAUGGUGUGGACGUUGUCGGUGGCCAUGGCGUUCCCUCCGGUGCUAGACGUCGGGACGUACACAUUCAUCCCAGAGGAGGACCAGUGUACGUUUCAGCACCGCUCCUUCCGGGCGAACGACUCGCUGGGCUUCAUGCUCCUGCUGGCGCUCAUCCUUCUGGCCACGCAGCUGGUUUACCUCAAGCUCAUCUUCUUCGUCCACGACCGCCGAAAGAUGAAGCCCGUCCAGUUCGUGCCUGCCGUUAGCCAGAACUGGACCUUCCAUGGGCCGGGCGCCAGCGGACAGGCGGCGGCCAACUGGCUGGCCGGGUUUGGCCGCGGCCCCACCCCACCUACUUUGCUGGGGAUCCGACAGAACAGCAACGCAGCGGGCCGCAGACGUCUUCUGGUGCUCGAUGAGUUCAAAACGGAGAAGAGGAUUAGUAGGAUGUUCUACAUAAUGACAUUUUUCUUCUUGGCUCUGUGGGGGCCCUACCUGGUUGCCUGCUACUGGCGCGUGUUUGCCAGGGGCUCUGUGGUCCCUAGAGGGUACCUGACAGCAGCCGUGUGGAUGAGCUUUGCCCAGGCCGGGGUCAAUCCUUUCAUCUGCAUCUUCUCCAACAGGGAGUUACGGCGCUGCUUCAGCACCACACUCCUCUACUGUAGAAAAUCCAGGUUACCGAGGGAACCCUACUGCGUUAUAUGACGGUUUUGCUGGGGUUUUUUACUCAUCUAUGUCUUGGUUACCCUGGUUUAUCUUGAUGUGGGCUUGUCCCAGUUGUACAGCUCUUGUUCUACGCCCUUCCCCUUCAACCUCCUGGUUUUCCUUUGCUCCUCCUUCUCAGAGGGUGGACUGCCGAUCACGCGGCUCUGCGUGGGUGAUUAAAUUACAAAAAGUCCAAUUGAACUUGGAGACCAAAUGGAAUGGGAAUAUAGAGAAGGUAUGGAUCCCCUCCUAUGUUUAUGUUCUAGUAAACAGACAUUGUGGAAGGCCAUGCCGAUGCAGAAAAGCAAAAAGUUAAAAAACUGUUUUUUUUUUUUUUUCCUUUGACAAAAUGAUGAAAACAAAACCUCCUGCUUUGGAUCUUUUGAAGACGAGUUACUCUGUGAUGUGUGAAAUACAAAAAUAAAGAAAAAUUUUUAAAAAGUUUAAAAAGUGAACAUGUAAUGAAGAAACAAUACCUCUCAAGGAAUCAUUGGAAAUGUUUUACAGUUUAAGAGUUGCACUAAAAAGAAGAUGUAAAGUUGCAUUUCUGUGGUCAAUGGUUGCCAUCUGCAUCGCAAGGACAACUUUUUAUUCCUCCCUCUUUGUUUUUAUUCUCCUUCAGCGUAAACGAUGAAUGCUUUAAUUUGCAACAGACAACACAAUUGUCUUUACCAUACGUACAGCAAAACUUGGUGACGUUGGGAUACACACCAUCACAAGAGGAUGAGAUGGUUUUAAUCCUGGGAAUCUGCCACCAUCCAUCGCAAGCAGCAGGUAAUGGAUCGAGCGAGCGCGGGACCUGAUGUGGCUACGGAUGAGCCAGCCCCGUGGGCGUGAGAGUGGGUGUUCAAAUGGAUUUGGAGAAGCUCGCCUGGAGUACCAGCACUCCUAGAACUUAGUGUUCACACCGCGGUGCCAAACCCUUCACAUCUCCUCAUUUCUUCCCUCAAAGACGAAACAAAAACAAAACAUGACAGCAGGGUGCCGGAAUGUUGUCGGGCUUGGUUAGGGGACAUUUUGAUGUUAUCCGGACGCUCUUUCUUGGCACUCUUUAAUCCCGGCAGUGUUGCAAAAGCACUCUGUUCUGCUUCUCGCUUUGUUUGCUGAAGCAUAGAUCAGGAGCCUUAUAAAGGUAGGCCCCCAAUGUCACUUUAUCGCUGCUGGAAAUCAUAAAUGGUUUGAGUGCGUCUUGCUACCCGUGUGCACUAUGUGUUCAGAGCAGUUGUGGAGUGCAGAGUAAAUGGCUCCAAACUAAAGAUGAAAAAAUAAUAAUAAUAAUAAACUACAGGAUGCUGCACUCUCCACAGAAUACUAACAGAACACUGGAAGCUAAUACUGACAAACAUCUGUUAAUAAAUAAUGGAUGAAGAUGAAAUACUCCACUCUAGAACAGAUGUUAUUUAUAGUGUCAUAGAAUUUCUGUCUCCAUCAUGGCUGAUGAAAUUUAAUAUAAGACAUUUAUUUUAUUAUAUCCUAAAGGUACAUAGUGAUGUAUUACAACUUUAUGGAUUUCAUUGAAUAGGCCAACACAAAUUAAUAGGACAGCAACCCUAAACUAACUUGAAAUUUUAAAUAUAUUUUUAGCAUUUUUGUCCAGUGUGCCUUGGCUUCGGGGCAUUAAUUAUAAAAUAUACACGUGGAAAACUGACUAGCAGGGUAAAUCCUGAGAGUAGAAAAAGUACUUAAAAAUGUAUCCACUUUUGCUUUAAUUAAAAAAAAAAAAAUUGACCAAACUUGUUGGCUGUCCUAGUUUUAUCUUUAAGUUGUUAAAUAAGAGUGGAAAAGGGAGGAAAAGACCUUCCUUGUCCAAACUUUAGUGUUUACACCUCAAUCCAACGCUGCACCUUUAUUAUGAACUGCCAAAAGAAAAACUGAAGAGUUAUUCGGGGUUUUCUUUUUGUUGUUUUCUUUUAUGGUCCACCAAGAAGAUUCACAGUGCAAUUAAGAAGUGGUAUUAAACAAACAACAACCUUUUAACCAUGUCUGCUUUUCUUUGCAUUUAUAAACUUAUAUUAAGAUUCUAAAUUGGCCAAAAAGAGAAGAAUGCUCUCAUAUAAAAGAGGUACAUUUACAUGGCAGCAAAGGGUGCCAAAUAUUUCAGAUUUUUGUUUCAAACAAUAAUAAUAAAUAAAAAAUAAAAAACUCUCCCAUUUCUCAGUUUUGUGCUACUUUGCAUUUGAGUGUCUGCCACUGAAAAUAUCAUCUUUAAAGUUUGUGAUUUUAACUGGAUAAUAUAAGAAAAAUAUUUGCUGGAAAUCUAGAUUACAGUUUCCUUCAAUUGAAUUGACUCAUGUUCUCUAUCUGGGAGAGAUCCAUGUGUCAUUUUACGUGUUUGUGCUCACCGAAAUAUUUGUAGAACUGAAAUGAAAAUACAUUCUGGCAUUGAAAACGUUUGUUUGUUUGUUUAUUUUUUUCUUGGUUUAUUAGAACACAUUUUGGGGGCAGCGUGUGGCUACACAGAUGCUGGGAGGGCACAGCGGCUGCCUGCAGGCACCAGCGGCAGCCAUUGUCGGCGGCGAAUACGAGGCCAGACACCUGUUCUCCCAAAAUGAAUUAUGAAAUGAAGACAAGCAUCCACUGUUCUCUGCACAUUUGGUUCAAACGGGGGCGAGGCCAAAGACCCGGGGAGAAACAAAAUGAAGGCGCAUGUUAAGCAAUGAGACAGCCAGAGGAAGAAAUCAAGGUUAUGAGUCCUUGUUAACUGUAAUAGACUCUGAAGAAGCCGAGUGGAAUUCCAAUAGAUUUUUCUGCUGCUCGCUUUCCUUUGUGCCGAUGCAACUAAAUUAAAACAACUGCAGAGAGUCAUUUAAAUGUUAUGAAUUAUUGCUGUUCAUAAACACGCUGCUAGUUGCCCCAUAAAGUGAAGAUGUAGUUGUUGUUGUUUAAACACGUGAGUCUUAUAUGCUUUGUCCCACAUUAGCUCUUGUCCCCAUUUUUUCACAAUGGCCCUUUUCUACAUGUGUACACAACAUGAAUCACUGACACAAUGAAGUCAGUGAUUCAGCAGCACUAGAUUUUGUUAGCAAAUUUGCCUCCAGUGGGUAAAAAAAAAAAAAAAAAAAAAAAACCACAAAUUGGCUCCAAAUGAUGCUCACGUAACGUAUAAUUUAUUCACACCUUUCUGUUAAUGCUCCUGCUUGGGAUCUGAAGUAGAUGUUUGCUGAGACUAUCUAAUCACAGGUCGCUCGGCGUGCAAGGUGUGUGAUUCCCAGAAAAGAAUGAAAGCUCAUUUCUUUGAAGAAAAGAAAGGGACUUGAGAAAAGGUGUCCAAUUUUAAAAUAGAUUCGGUCUUGAUUGCUGAAGUUUAACCUCACGCAGGGAAAUCUGAGUGCGCAUAUUCAGCUGGGUAAAACUAGAUUGCUUCUUUUAAACGAUAUCCAUGGCGCAACACUUUUCACCUCAUUAAAAAAUAAAAUAAAUUAAAUAAGUGUGAGUUGUUUAUUCCUACUCUGUCAAAUUGAUCAGUUCGUUUACAACCUUUUUAACUUUAAUCUAAAACUUUCUCCUUUUUUUGUGGGGCAUAAGGAUGAUAUCCCAUCAAGGCAGAUUUCUGAUAGCUAAUCUUAACGAUCAGACAAGAGAACAUGCCACUAAAGUAAGACAGAUGUGUGUUGGAUCUUAAUGAGUCAGAGAAUUAUGAUCAGAAAAUAUCUUCUCCAAUGUAAUCACCUGAAAAAUUCCAAUAACUGGAAGUGCAACAAACAAG
Gambusia affinis (western mosquitofish) is the source of this 5268-nucleotide RNA transcript. It is a transcript of the gene named G protein-coupled receptor 85, with no coding region annotated. The record is from RefSeq and is a predicted model, not a curated record. The transcript is spliced from 3 exons. NCBI's taxonomy places the organism in Eukaryota, Metazoa, Chordata, Actinopteri, Cyprinodontiformes, Poeciliidae.